GAUGCUUUGGCGGUGCGUUAUCUGCAGCGUUUUUAUAACUUUUUCAUUGAAACUGUUAUUGAGCCAUAUCAAUAGAUUGCACAGUCGCAGCCCUGAUUUCUGGUUGCUCUGUGGUAUUGACGGAUGCACUGAGGAAUAUAGAGUGUACAAUUCCUUCUAUCAUCAUGUAAAGAGAAACCACCUUCAACACCUACUUGAUUGCACCCGACCAGAUGAACAGCCAUCGGAGGAAAGCCAAGUACCACCGGAACAAAUAAGACAAUAUUCUACCCGAUCAGCUUCUAGCGAACUCCAGCAUCACUGAUAAGCAACUCCAUACAUCUGACUCAGAUAAGGGGUAAAGGGGGCAUUGACCAACAUGGAGCUGUCACAGUGCAACUAGCUCUGACAACACAUGCCGAUGCUUUUGUGAUAAAUGCCAGAGCCAAGCAUCUUCUCUCACAGAAAGGUGUGAAUGACAUUUUUGCUGGGGUACAGCAGUAUCAAUCAUCACUAUUGGACAACCUCAGGAAGCAGAUGGAGGCAGUGCUAAAGAAGCAUUCAUAUAUUUGACAAUUUCAUUGACCCUUUUGCUGGCGUUUCAACAACAUUUAGACAGGACGGUGUUAUUAAGAAGCAGUUUAGCUGUUUGGACGCAGAGGAAGUUCCAAUUGCUCGAACCAUAUGCAGGAUCAAAUGUGGAGGAUCAAAAGACAUUUUCAAAUAUAUAUUUUUUUAAAUUAUGUACCAUUAGUCAAAAGUCUAGAACAGUUCUUAUCACACAAGGAUUUUGUCUAUGGUUGAAAAGGGACCCCAGAUGUGCAGGGAAAGAUUUUUUCAUGACAUUGUUGAUGGUGCUCUUUUAAAAUCACGUCCCUUAUUUUCAGAGAAACCAAAGCCAUUGCAGAUGGUUCUGUACGCAGAUGAAAUAGAAUUUUGUAAUCCACUAGGAUCCUUUGCAUCAAAAACAAGUUAAUGGUGUACUACACUCUAGGAAAUAUAAAUGCAGGUCUAAACUGGCUGCUAUCAGGCUUACUUGCCAUGGCUAGAUCAGCAGACCUCCUUCAAUCUGGUGUAGAUAUAAUAUUGAAUAGAAUCAAGGAAGACAUGGAUGCAUUGUACAGUGGGGUUAAAAUGCUAACUAUUAACGGAGAGAACGAUAUGUUGUGCCAUGGUCUCUCUCUGUGGAGACAUUGUCGUGGACGAAUCAGAAUUAGUUGGGUAACAUAGAUAAUUAAGAUGUUUUAUUAGUAUAAUAUGCUUAUGUGAGAUACUUGUCAUUAGAAAGUGUCCUUUGACUCUGGAAUGUUUCAGUUACACAUUUCCCUUAGCUGGGGCUCAGACACUUGGGGCCCAGAGAGGGGAAGAGGUCAGACUUGUCUUUUACUUGUCUCUGUUGCUCUGCAGAAUAUCAGCAAGAGAGGAGGACAGAAUGAAAUAUUUUCUUCGAAUGUGAAUGUCUCUUUACCUAUGCUUAAACCAUGUGAAGGGAUGGCGUGAUUACUGGGGAACCAAUGACUUGUCUCCACAAUGUCUGUGAGCAAGUCACACCCUCCUUUUCUUUAUUGUGGGGAGGAUUAUGGCAGUAAAUGGACCCUUGUAUGUCCUCUCUUAGAUCUCACACUUAUCCUGUGAUAAUAUAUGGCCUAGAGGCUCACUCCCUCCAGUGAGCCUGUCCAGGAGUGGGGUCAAGAGGGGGUUUGCUUGAGAUGGGAGUAUCUGGAGUUGACAAUUGAUAUAGCCAUUGGAUGAAAUGGUGUUUUUGUUCAAUACCGUACCAGGGAGGGACAGUUCUAAGGGGAACAGAUACUGGGCUAUACAAUUAAUCCUGUUGACAUAGCAGUUACUGUCUGAUGUGUUUUAUUGAUAUCUGUCAUACAAAACUUAACCUUUGAACUGUUACUAAGUAUCUGUGGUUUGUCAAUGUACGUUGAAGGGGGUAUCAUUGCUAUAAAAGAUCCCUGUAGCAAUUCUGUAAUCACCUUCCUGGUUCAUUCGAGAGAAUGCAUUAGUGGGCUCAAGAACUUUUGCAAAAGUAUCUUAAUUAAGUAUUAAAGAUGUAGUUUAACUCGG
RNAcentral lists this long non-coding RNA (2052 nucleotides) under Salmo salar (Atlantic salmon). Its description in RNAcentral is "lncRNA (ENSSSAG00000116313.1)". Lineage: Eukaryota; Metazoa; Chordata; Actinopteri; Salmoniformes; Salmonidae. The record is from RNAcentral.